GACGAACGCUGGCGGCGUGCCUAAUACAUGCAAGUCGAGCGCAGGAAGCCGUCUGAACCCUUCGGGGGGACGACGGUGGAAUGAGCGGCGGACGGGUGAGUAACACGUAAAGAACCUGCCCAUAGGUCUGGGAUAACCACGAGAAAUCGGGGCUAAUACCGGAUGUGUCAUCGGACCGCAUGGUCCGCUGAUGAAAGGCGCCCCGGCGUCGCCCAUGGAUGGCUUUGCGGUGCAUUAGCUAGUUGGUGGGGUAACGGCCCACCAAGGCGACGAUGCAUAGCCGGCCUGAGAGGGUGAUCGGCCACACUGGGACUGAGACACGGCCCAGACUCAUACGGGAGGCAGCAGUAGGGAAUCUUCCACAAUGGACGAAAGUCUGAUGGAGCAACGCCGCGUGAACGAUGAAGGUCUUCGGAUUGUAAAGUUCUGUUGUUAGGGACGAAUAAGUACCGUUCGAAUAGGGCGGUACCUUGACGGUACCUGACGAGAAAGCCACGGCUAACUACGUGCCAGCCGCCGCUGUAA
Molecule: ribosomal RNA, 525 nt
Filed under: uncultured bacterium
Lineage: Bacteria
Description: partial 16S ribosomal RNA
Rfam family: Bacterial small subunit ribosomal RNA
Source: RNAcentral